GAUGAACGCUGGCGGCGUGCCUAAUACAUGCAAGUCGAGCGAACGGACGAGAAGCUUGCUUUUCUGAUGUUAGCGGCGGACGGGUGAGUAACACGUGGAUAACCUACCUAUAAGACUGGGAUAACUUCGGGAAACCGGAGCUAAUACCGGAUAAUAUUUUGAACCGCAUGGUUCAAAAGUGAAAGACGGUCUUGCUGUCACUUAUAGAUGGAUCCGCGCUGCAUUAGCUAGUUGGUAAGGUAACGGCUUACCAAGGCAACGAUGCAUAGCCGACCUGAGAGGGGGAUCGGCCACACUGGAACUGAGACACGGUCCAGACUCCUACGGGAGGCAGCAGUAGGGAAUCUUCCGCAAUGGGCGAAAGCCUGACGGAGCAACGCCGCGUGAGUGAUGAAGGUCUUCGGAUUGUAAAACUCUGUUAUUAGGGAAGAACAUAUGUGUAAGUAACUGUGCACAUCUUGACGGUACCUAAUCAGAAAGCCACGGCUAACUUCGGG
This 497-nucleotide ribosomal RNA is filed under the name uncultured bacterium. RNAcentral describes it as "partial 16S ribosomal RNA". It matches the Rfam family "Bacterial small subunit ribosomal RNA", at positions 28 to 507 of the family's 1533-position model. The record is from RNAcentral.